GUACAGCUGCAUCAGCUGUUCGUAGGACAUGUCCAGCAGCUGGUCCAGGUCCACGCCGCGGAAUACAAAAGCCAUCAGGAAAAGGCCAAAUGAGUGUGCUCUCCUGUCACUGAAGGCUUCUGAAAGGAUAUGGGCCAGUGCAUCAGAUUUUGUUGCUGAGCAGGUUGGAGAAGAGCAUCAAAGGUGAGAGCAAAGGUCUCUUGGCAAACUCCUGUUCUGGACACCCAUUGCAUUGGAUGCCUGCCUCUAUCAUAGCUCUUAUUGCCCUUUAUUAGAGGAUAAUAUGGUCCAUGUCCUCCACUAGACUGAGCUUCUCAAAGGCUGAGACCUACCUUAUUUGUCUUUUUUGAGACGGAGUCUCGCUCUGUUGCCCAGGCUGGACUGCAGUGGCACGAUCUCAGCUCACUGCAACCUCCGCCUCCCGGGUUCAUGCCAUUCUCCUGCCUUAACCUCCUGAGUAGCUGGGACUACAGGCACCCGCCACCACGCCUGGCUAAUUUUUUGUAUUUUUAGUAGAGACGGGGUUUCACCCUGUUAACCAGGAU
Molecule: long non-coding RNA, 545 nt
Filed under: Homo sapiens (human)
Lineage: Eukaryota; Metazoa; Chordata; Mammalia; Primates; Hominidae
Description: non-protein coding lnc-COA6-1:5
Source: RNAcentral